CCUACGGGCGGCUGCAGUGAGGAAUAUUGGUCAAUGGACGAGAGUCUGAACCAGCCAAGUAGCGUGAAGGAUGACUGCCCUAUGGGUUGUAAACUUCUUUUAUAUGGGAAUAAAAUGUUCCACGUGUGGGAUUUUGUAUGUACCAUAUGAAUAAGGAUAGGCUAACUCCGUGCCAGCAGCCGCGGUAAUACGGAGGAUCCGAGCGUUAUCCGGAUUUAUUGGGUUUAACGGGAGCGUAGGUGGAUUGUUAAGUCAGUUGUGAAAGUUUGCGGCUCAACCGUAAAAUUGCAGUUGAAACUGGCAGUCUUGAGUACAGUAGAGGUGGGCGGAAGUCGUGGUGUAGCGGUGAAAUGCUUAGAUAUCACGAAGAACUCCGAUUGCGAAGGCAGUUCACUGGACUGCAACUGACACUGAGGCUCGAAAGUGUGGGUAUCAAACAGGAUUAGAUACCCGAGUAGUC
This 460-nucleotide ribosomal RNA is filed under the name uncultured bacterium. Its description in RNAcentral is "partial 16S ribosomal RNA". It matches the Rfam family "Bacterial small subunit ribosomal RNA", at positions 338 to 795 of the family's 1533-position model. The record is from RNAcentral.